Molecule: microRNA precursor, 105 nt
Filed under: Picea abies (Norway spruce)
Lineage: Eukaryota; Viridiplantae; Streptophyta; Pinopsida; Pinales; Pinaceae
Description: miR11534 stem-loop (pab-MIR11534)
Source: miRBase by way of RNAcentral
UGUGCGACAGAAUGCUUAACCUCGCCAACAAUCUCACCACCGAUCAUGUGAAUAUCUAAGAAUAGGAGGUGAGAUUGUUGGAGAGGUUCAGCAUUUAUCUGCACA